This 443-nucleotide ribosomal RNA is filed under the name uncultured bacterium. Its description in RNAcentral is "partial 16S ribosomal RNA". It matches the Rfam family "Bacterial small subunit ribosomal RNA", at positions 338 to 795 of the family's 1533-position model. The record is from RNAcentral.
ACUACGGGUGGCAGCAGUGGGGAAUAUUGGGCAAUGGGCGCAAGCCUGACCCAGCAACGCCGCGUGAAGGAAGAAGGCUUUCGGGUUGUAAACUUCUUUUCUCAGGGACGAAGAAAGUGACGGUACCUGAGGAAUGAGCCACGGCUAACUACGUGCCAGCAGCCGCGGUAAUACGUAGGUGGCAAGCGUUAUCCGGAUUUAUUGGGUGUAAAGGGCGUGUAGGCGGGAGCGCAAGUCAGAUGUGAAAACUCAGGGCUCAACCCUGAGCCUGCAUUUGAAACUGUGUUUCUUGAGUGCUGGAGAGGCAAUCGGAAUUCCGUGUGUAGCGGUGAAAUGCGUAGAGAUACGGAGGAACACCAGUGGCGAAGGCGGAUUGCUGGACAGUAACUGACGCUGAGGCGCGAAAGCGUGGGGAGCAAACAGGAUUAGAUACCCUUGUAGUC